CUUCGGGGACAUUGGUGACAGGUGGUGCAUGGUUGUCGUCAGCUCGUGUCGUGAGAUGUUGGGUUAAGUCCCGCAACGAGCGCAACCCUUGUCUUUAGUUGCCAUCAUUAAGUUGGGCACUCUAGAGAGACUGCCAGGGAUAACCUGGAGGAAGGUGGGGAUGACGUCAAAUCAUCAUGCCCCUUAUGCUUAGGGCUACACACGUGCUACAAUGGGUAGUACAGAGGGUUGCCAAGCCGUAAGGUGGAGCUAAUCCCUUAAAGCUACUCUCAGUUCGGAUUGUAGGCUGAAACUCGCCUACAUGAAGCUGGAGUUACUAGUAAUCGCAGAUCAGAAUGCUGCGGUGAAUGCGUUCCCGGGUCUUGUACACACCGCCCGUCACACCACGGGAGUUGGAGACGCCCGAAGCCGAUU
Molecule: ribosomal RNA, 414 nt
Filed under: Clostridioides difficile
Lineage: Bacteria; Bacillati; Bacillota; Clostridia; Peptostreptococcales; Peptostreptococcaceae
Description: bacterial SSU rRNA
Rfam family: Bacterial small subunit ribosomal RNA
Source: RNAcentral